Molecule: long non-coding RNA, 870 nt
Organism: Danio rerio (zebrafish)
Lineage: Eukaryota; Metazoa; Chordata; Actinopteri; Cypriniformes; Danionidae
Source: Ensembl
UAGCUGAAGCCUUGGUUUCUAAGUUUCCGUGUCUUAGGGAGCCAGGUUCAUUUGCGGGAUUAUAUGGCUGGCAGCAGCGCAUAAAAAACAAGAUGCACAAUUACCGUGCCAAGCUAAGAUCUCGAAAAUAUUCUUACCCGGAAAUUGAAAUCAACACCUUAAAAAGGAAGCAUCCCGCUGAUGUAGGGCCUUUAAAAAAUAUAAAAAAGGCCAAAAAAGCAGAGGUUAAUUACCUCCCUCCACACCCUACUGGUGAAAGCCAAGAGACACUGGAGAAAGAGAGACUUGAAUUAAUUUGUGAAAUUACAAAGAAAAACAAUGCAAAGAUAAUUGCAGAUAAAAUGAAUAAAACCUUCUCUAGCCGAAGAAUUGAAGUGGUCAGCCUCAGCCCCUCUGUUGAUGUGUUUAAAGAAAGGUGGCCAGCAUUAUUCACUGAGGCUCAGAUCAAGGAGGAGUUCAGACGCAUCACAACGGUUUCCUUGGAGGAGACAUUCCUGCGGAAGCUUGAUGAGUACACACCUGGUCUUUUGCGGCUAAUGCGUGCCAAAGGAGGAGCAGCUGGUUGCAAGAUGCGUCCUCUGCUGGACAGUUUAAAUACACAGAACAUUGAGGAAAAAAGAGAUGCUGUUGUCUGCUGCCUCAUUAACUACCUCGGUGAAAGACAAGAAGAUCUUUUCCAUGAAUGGCAGGAAUGUGAGGAGUACACAGACAAAACAAUGAAGGUGAUUGUGAAGCACAAUGUCAUGGCUGAGGAGGACGAUUUGUCUAUUGUGAUCGAGGGAAACCAAGUGAUGGAAGGAUGUGGAAGCCGAACAAAGGCAUGCAUACUGCUGAUGGGACUCAUAUAUGCAAUCAACAUUGAAUAUCCAA